GACGAACGCUGGCGGCGUGCUUAACACAUGCAAGUCGAACGGAAAGGCCCUGCUUGCAGGGUACUCGAGUGGCGAACGGGUGAGUAACACGUGGGUGAUCUGCCCUGCACUUCGGGAUAAGCCUGGGAAACUGGGUCUAAUACCGGAUAGGAGCCAUUCUUAGUGUGAUGGUUGGAAAGUUUUUUCGGUGUAGGAUGAGCUCGCGGCCUAUCAGCUUGUUGGUGGGGUAAUGGCCUACCAAGGCGGCGACGGGUAGCCGGCCUGAGAGGGUGGACGGCCACAUUGGGACUGAGAUACGGCCCAGACUCCUACGGGAGGCAGCAGUGGGGAAUAUUGCACAAUGGGCGCGAGCCUGAUGCAGCGACGCCGCGUGGGGGAUGACGGCCUUCGGGUUGUAAACUCCUUUCGCUAGGGACGAAGCUUUUUGUGACGGUACCUAGAGAAGAAGCACCGGCUAACUACGUG
Molecule: ribosomal RNA, 465 nt
Filed under: uncultured bacterium
Lineage: Bacteria
Description: partial 16S ribosomal RNA
Rfam family: Bacterial small subunit ribosomal RNA
Source: RNAcentral